AUUAAUUUGACGUAUUUUGACCUCCACACACCUGAUAAUUACUCUAGAUGUAUAUAUUAUCCUUUAUUCACAUCCGAUAAAUAAGAGCGAACUCGACUCGAUUUUUUUUUUGAAUUGAACUUGAUAAAUAAGAGCGAAAAAAAAACAAAACUCAUUUCGAAUUAAAAAUUCAGUUAGAGCGAUAUGUAGAUAAUGAAAAAUUCGACAAACUUGGAAUUUAAUUGUAGCAACAACGGCUUAGAGUUGGAGAUUGAUCUGCUUGCAGAAGAGAAGAUGGUGGCUGCUAUUUUAGGUUUAGACUUUUAGAGAUUGAUUGAUUAUGUUCUAAAAAUCGAUUAAAGCUACCAAGUUAGAAUCCCAUAUACUCAUUGCAAGUUGUUGGUACCAUGGACCGCGGACUGCGGCCCAUGGACCGAACCGGCCCGGCCGGCCUAGACGGACGGGCGGGGCCGACGGCGCGAGCCCACGAGGCCCAACGACAGCAAGUGAAGGCUAUAAAUACCUCCCCUGGUCCAACUGGGGAGGGGGUUGAGAAUUCUGAGAGAGAGACUUGUACUAGGUUGAUAGUGAGCUAGCUCCGGCG
RNAcentral lists this long non-coding RNA (583 nucleotides) under Zostera marina. Its description in RNAcentral is "long non-coding RNA (ZMAR_LNC000672)". The record is from RNAcentral. Lineage: Eukaryota; Viridiplantae; Streptophyta; Magnoliopsida; Alismatales; Zosteraceae.